AGGAAAAAAACACCUAAAUCUUGCAUGGCCUGAGGAGGUCUCCGGAGAGUGGAUUGACUUGGGGCUGUGCCGGGACAGAGAAAGGAAGAUUUCAGGAUGUUUGGAGAGGAGUGAACAACUACAGCAAUUAGAGAGAGAGGCUGAUAAAGAGAAGAGGUGUUUGUGAGUGAUUCUAGCAUGCAAGGAUGGUUUGUGAUCAGCCAACACAUCAUAUCAGGCAGGCAUAUCAGUUCCAGCUGUGAGACAGUGAGCUGGAAGACAAACGUGUUGAUGGGCAAAUUCUCUCGCUCUAUCUGUCUUUAUAUAGCAAGGUGAUUCCAUUAAAGCGAGCACACUUGCAUCCAUCAAAAUGGCACAAACAUACAUACAAGAUUGUUUAAUAUUUUGAU
Sinocyclocheilus grahami is the source of this 389-nucleotide long non-coding RNA. RefSeq lists it as uncharacterized. The record is from RefSeq and is a predicted model, not a curated record. The transcript is spliced from 4 exons. NCBI's taxonomy places the organism in Eukaryota, Metazoa, Chordata, Actinopteri, Cypriniformes, Cyprinidae.